UGGUGAUAAUGACCCAGCAGUCCCAAGGUGCCGGGCUCUGGGCUGGGGUCCAUGUGGUCUUUAUAACAAUUCAGCAAGAAACAUGUAAUGAUAUCCAUUUUAUAGAAGAGGAAACUGAAGUUCAGAGAGGCAGAGUGAUUCGCCUCUAAAUUCCAAAGUGGCCGAGGUGGGCUUGAGCCCAGCUUCUCUACUGUCUCAGCUAGUCCCCCAUCUAACUGGGGCAGGUGGGAUGAGGCAGUGGGGGCCAGACAGCGACCGAUGUUUCAGAGGAGACCUUGACUUAACAGGCCACCCGAUGCCAAAGAAUGGCUCCUAUGGACUCCAGCUUCUGGAACACACCGAACGACCGCCUGCCUGAGGCCAGAGGGAUUCACACACAUGCCUCACCCCACUAGAAGCAGGCCUGGGGUCUAACUUCCAGUAUGUGUGGGAGUUGGUGAGCCCAGCGCAGGCCCCACCCCAAGGAGACAGGUUUGGAACUCCAUCGGCCCUCGGAACCGAGCUCUGUGACCCAUGGGGUAACCGUGGCAAUGAUCAGCCAAGCUCAGAUGGAGCCACUUUGGGCCACUCUGAACUUGGAAACCACAUUGGGGAGACAUCAGUCCAUCCAGGGCUCAGCAAACUAAGGAGGCAGCUACCUCUACGAUUCGAUUAAAGUUGGAGAGAUUAUGAAGAAGUAUUGCUGACUUCUAGAUCUUUCCCUCCCUAUGGUUAUUUUGCCCGGAUUCCUACUUAGGCCUCUAGCCUCCCUGCUAUAUUGCUGGACCACCUAGAAGGAAAAUGGCUGCCAUUUGCAACGAGCGUCAAAACAUGAAUUAACUUCUGCCAGGGGAUGGUAGAGGAGUAGGGAAGCAUCACAGGACAGGGCCCUGCCUACGCCAGAAGUGCUCAUGUGAUCGGAGAGCCUGAGUGCCGACUGAAAAGGGAAGUGAGUCGAUUUGGGGCCUCCCCCAUUCUCUGGCCCCAUUUUCCGCCACGGGGCUAGGAGCCGGGAUUCAGUCUGUCGAGCCUACCAACCCCAUCACUUAGUCCUCGCUACAAUGGGGUAUUCCCAUCCCCCACCUAAGGGUACGGAACUGAGGCUGAGGGGGUUGGAUGACUUCUCCAAGGUCAUACAACUAGGGAGAGGCACAGCUCGGACUUGAACUGGGGUGGUCUGACAUCAGCCCUUGCUCUCCCGCCCACCGUGCUCGGGUGUCCUCGCCCUCCACGGCCAUCUCUUCACUUGACAAAGGGGGGCGCUGAGGCCCAGAGAGGCCAAGAAAGCUCCCCAAGGUCACACGGUCGAUUGGUUGUAGAGCGAGGCUGGGGAACAGAAAAGAAUGGCUUUUUGCUGCAUGCUUGGGAGAAGCCUACAGGACUCGUGACUUCGGCUUUGCUGGUCCUCCAGCUGGAGGCGGGUGUCCUCCAGGUCACAGGUCAGAUGGCGGCACUUCCUCUUUAGCUGCUGCCAUUUCUGAGGUGAGCACAGUGGGAAAGAGAACAGGUACUGGGGUCGGAGAGACCCUGUCUUGACCACUUUCUGCCUGUUUCCCAGGGAGGAAGCUACUUCUCUGACCCCGUCUGCUCAAGAGGUGCCCCAUAGAGUCUUUACAAGCCCUGCCUCCACAAGAAGACUGAGGACUGUAUACCUAAUAACCCCAUCAGCCGGCAUCAUCCCAGAGCCCAUGUGGGGAUUAGCCAUGGAGCAGCCAAAAUGGUGGCCGUAGAAGAUCUGGCCAGGAGAUCUGAGAGAUGGGCUCUGAAGUUGGGUUUAGCUACAGCUCAGGAUGUUCUUGGGGAGUAGACAUAAUGCCCUUCUGGGAAGUGACCACUAAAACCAUCAACACCAUGGAGGAUCCUGAGUUUCACUGCCAUUAUUUAUCAAAUCCCAUGUGAUCUCACCCUGGCCCACCUCUGCAGGUUCGGCCAAUACCUUGAACGGUGGAGGUAGGAACCUGCCCAAUCUGACAUUCUUGGGACCCAGACUAGCUACGACCUCUUACCUUCUGCUCCAGCUCUUUCCUGGAUGUCAACUCAGAGUCCAGCCUCUC
Long non-coding RNA from Felis catus (domestic cat), 2033 nucleotides. RefSeq lists it as uncharacterized. The record is from RefSeq and is a predicted model, not a curated record. Lineage: Eukaryota; Metazoa; Chordata; Mammalia; Carnivora; Felidae. The transcript has 7 exons.